AAAGGCAGGGGGAAGAAAAGGUUGUGGUACCUAAAUGUGCCAAUAAUAAAAAAAACAUUUCCAUACCCCCAGUUUUAGUUUUGUUUACCCUCCCCUUUUUUCCAGUGAUUUCAGGGAAAACAAAUUUAUUAUCCAACUUGAAUAUUUUGUUUGUCACGACAGCCCGCGACAGCCAUUUUGCACAGCAACAAGUCAAUUUCACAAUCGCCAUUUUUCCCUCUGAGAAAUAGAAAAAUUAAAAAGAAGCUAGACUACUUUGUCACAAUAAUAACGUUACAUAACAUACACGAAUCUGCCUGUUUGCUAAAUUCAAAAAAAAAAAACGUACUUGAAGGACAACGCUGGUUGUUCUGCCUCGUCGACAAGCAAGGUCUUAUCGGUUUGAUUAUUGGAUGUACUACAGUUUUACCUUGACGACACCAUUUGAUAUACGAUCUUUGAUACUUUCCUUCCCACAAAUUCAUAAUAAUUAUUGGUGUGCUUCUGGAAAAGAAUCGACUAGCCAACAACUGUGACAACGAAACCGCCAUUGUCGACCAACUCUUUUUGUCGACUUUUUUCUUUCAUCGAGUGGCGGAUUGUUGAGAAAAAAAUCAAUGGAAAAGGAGGAGGUCCUGAAGAAUACGAAUACCAGGAACUGUGCAAAUGCCACUUUUUCUUGGUGAAAGAAGAUUAAAAGUUCAAUCUGAAA
Long non-coding RNA from Daphnia magna, 691 nucleotides. RefSeq lists it as uncharacterized. The record is from RefSeq and is a predicted model, not a curated record. The transcript is spliced from 5 exons. NCBI's taxonomy places the organism in Eukaryota, Metazoa, Arthropoda, Branchiopoda, Diplostraca, Daphniidae.